This 253-nucleotide ribosomal RNA is filed under the name uncultured bacterium. Its description in RNAcentral is "partial 16S ribosomal RNA". It matches the Rfam family "Bacterial small subunit ribosomal RNA", at positions 524 to 776 of the family's 1533-position model. The record is from RNAcentral.
UACGGAGGAUCCGAGCGUUAUCCGGAUUUAUUGGGUUUAAAGCGUGCGCAGGCGGACGGGUAAGUCAGCUGUGAAAGUUUACGGCUCAACCGUGAAAUUGCAGUUGAUACUGUUGGUCUAGAGUAUAGAUGAGGUGGGCGGAAUUUGUGGUGUAGCGGUGAAAUGCUUAGAUAUCACGAAGAACUCCAAUUGCGAAGGCAGCUCACUGGAGUAUAACUGACGCUGAGGCACGAAGGUGUGGGGAUCAAACAGG